UGCCGCGUGCAGGAGGAAGGCCCUACGGGUUGUAAACUGCUUUUACCGGGGGAUAAACCCUGCUAUGCGUAGCAAGUUGAAGGUACCCGGUGAAUAAGGAUCCGCUAACUCCGUGCCAGCAGCCGCGGUAAUACGGAGGAUCCGAGCGUUAUCCGGAUUUAUUGGGUUUAAAGGGUGCGUAGGCGGCGCAUUAAGUCAGUGGUGAAAGGUAACCGCUCAACCGGGACACUGCCAUUGAUACUGAUGAGCUGGAAUACAGAUGAAGUGGGCGGAAUGUGUCAAGUAGCGGUGAAAUGCAUAGAUAUGACACAGAACACCGAUUGCGAAGGCAGCUCACUAAAGUGUCACUGACGCUGAAGCACGAAAGCGUGGGGAUCGAACAGGAUUAGAUACCCUGGUAGUCCACGCCCUAAACGAUGAUUACUCGAUGUUAGCGAUAUACGGUUAGCGUCAAAGCGAAAGCGUUAAGUAAUCCACCUGGGGAGUACGGUCGCAAGAUUGAAACUCAAAGGAAUUGACGG
This 521-nucleotide ribosomal RNA is filed under the name uncultured Bacteroidota bacterium. RNAcentral describes it as "bacterial SSU rRNA". It matches the Rfam family "Bacterial small subunit ribosomal RNA", at positions 395 to 916 of the family's 1533-position model. Lineage: Bacteria; Pseudomonadati; Bacteroidota. The record is from RNAcentral.